GAGAACUCUGGAUAGCUAGGAUGCUGGACCUCACGCUGAGGUCCCACUUCUGCGGCACCAAAGGAGAAGUCUGGGUCUGAAAGCAAAGCCAGUUCCUGCCCUGCUAAUCCUGACUUGAGAUGUUGAGAAGGACCCAGGCCAGACAGUGCAGAAUUCCUCUGACAAUUGGAAACUGCAACUGGUUACAAAGCUGACUGUGGGAGACUGGAAUGCACUAGAGCUUCAUUGGUGGAUGGGGGCGUUCCAUCGGAGAAGCCUGUCUUCCUGCCCGGGGAGCCAGGGUGAAGACAACAUAGGGUAGGCUUGUGUUGAGGACCUGCUGAAUAGUUUGUGUGACAUCAGAGCCUUGUCUUCCUGCUGGUGUGUGGUCUUUAUAGGCCUUGCUGUAGAGCAGGGGUCGGCAAAAUAUGGCCGAAGUCCUGUUUUGUACUCCCCAUUAGCUGAGAGUGACUUUCACAUUUUCAAAGGGUUCUAAAAACAAAGAACGUGUGACAGGAAGUGAAUGUGGCUUGCAGUUGGC
Molecule: long non-coding RNA, 520 nt
Filed under: Ursus maritimus (polar bear)
Lineage: Eukaryota; Metazoa; Chordata; Mammalia; Carnivora; Ursidae
Description: lncRNA (ENSUMAG00000023260.1)
Source: RNAcentral